AACGAACGCUGGCGGCAUGCCUAACACAUGCAAGUCGAACGAUCCCUUCGGGGAUAGUGGCGCACGGGUGCGUAACGCGUGGGAACCUGCCCUUAGGUUCGGAAUAACUCAGAGAAAUUUGAGCUAAUACCGGAUAAUGUCUUCGGACCAAAGAUUUAUCGCCUUUGGAUGGGCCCGCGUUGGAUUAGCUAGUUGGUGGGGUAAAGGCCUACCAAGGCGACGAUCCGUAGCUGGUCUGAGAGGAUGAUCAGCCACACUGGGACUGAGACACGGCCCAGACUCCUACGGGAGGCAGCAGUGGGGAAUAUUGGACAAUGGGCGAAAGCCUGAUCCAGCAAUGCCGCGUGAGUGAUGAAGGCCUUAGGGUUGUAAAGCUCUUUUACCCGGGAUGAUAAUGACAGUACCGGGAGAAUAAGCCCCGGCUAACUCCGUG
This 433-nucleotide ribosomal RNA is filed under the name uncultured bacterium. Its description in RNAcentral is "partial 16S ribosomal RNA". It matches the Rfam family "Bacterial small subunit ribosomal RNA", at positions 29 to 507 of the family's 1533-position model. The record is from RNAcentral.